UCAUUUAUUUGUUGGCAUAGAGCAUCGCAUCAUAUAGAAGAGUCAUUCAUUUAUAAGAAGAUUGGUUGCCUCAUUUAUUUAUAAGAAGAUUCUUAUAUGUAUUUAGAAUACAUGAUUUUAAUUUGAUCGACUUCUUUGAACUUUUUUGUUGACUAUGAUAUUUCCUUAGGUUCACCUUGACCUUCACUGCCCGUGUAAGAGCUUAAGUCAAUAUAUAUGUUGUAUCAUCAAAAUCCGUAGCUUUGCACAAUUUUUUUGUCUAUACAUACACUUUAAUUUCCGGUUGCCAAAGACCAGCUUCAGCGAGCGGCGUGGCUUCAUAACAAUUGCCGGUGAAAAUAAGCUCACAUCUGAUAAUAUAUUAUAUCUUUGGCUGAAGUUAACGUCAAAGCUUCUACUGGUAAAUAUUAGGGUAAGUUAGGAAGUGAAAAUCCUAAUGAAGUCUUGUUGACCUCAAAUAUUGGCUUUACAAGAAAAGAUUAUUUUUUCGCAAUAAUGUAUACACAAGAAUUUUAGAAACAAAUGUUUCAUUUUUGUUCUCCAUCCGUGGCAACGCACGAGCAUUUUACUAGUU
Molecule: long non-coding RNA, 574 nt
Filed under: Hordeum vulgare
Lineage: Eukaryota; Viridiplantae; Streptophyta; Magnoliopsida; Poales; Poaceae
Description: long non-coding RNA (HVUL_LNC007394)
Source: RNAcentral